GGCUCCUAGGUCAUGCUUUACUGAGGUUUGCAUUAUGACACGUUCAUGUCUAUUAUUACUACCCAUUGUAAGCUGCCCUGAGAGUCAUUGGCUCAAAAUGUGGUAUCCAAAUCAAUGAAUGUAGCUAUAAAUAACAAGAAGGGUUCAAGUAUCUUAAUGGCAUUAGAGGCUGUUGGCUGCUGUAUCAAGGGGGAGUUCUGAUAUUUUGCAAUAGUUGGUGCACCCAUUGCAGGUUUUCUGUUUCCUUCCCCAACCCCUGCCUUUCCCCCCUCUUACCUCCUGCAAGAUAGCUGGGAAUCAAUCAAGCCUUUUCAUUUCACUCCCACUUAGCAAGCAUCCUCAUUAUUAAUAAUUGGAUAGCUUAAUUUUAAUUCCAUUUAUUCAAAUCAUUAUUCCGCCCAUUGAUCAAUACAGUGGUAAUUAGAUUAACAAAUACAGAGUGAUUAACGGCCACAGGAAAUGCAGUUUAAUUAAUUUAAAUGAAGCGCUUUCGCUUUUUUUAAAAGGAGGAGGUGAAAACCACCCCAGACCGUUUUAGUUUAUUUAUUCCUCAGGUGGGAGGGGGCUGUAUAGCAUAUCCCAAAUUGAUGCGAGGCUUCCCCAUCCCUAUUAUUUUUAAAUAUUGAAAAUUGAGUUGGGAUCUAAGGUAAAAGUGCAUCCUUCAUGAAAAAGCAGAAGUUUAGGAAAUGCAAAAUGCACAGUAUUGUGAGCUACUGCAGAGGCAGGCAAUCGGUAGCCCUAAGGCCACAAUGAGUAGUACCUACACUCCAUGAAUUUGCUUAAUACCACCCAUGUUGGUAGCCAUUACUGUCUCCAGCAGAAGCAAGUUUUGUAGUUUAACUAUUUGCUGCGUGACUAAAUCCUUUCUUUUUAUUGUUUAGUCAUGUCCGACUCUUCGUGGCCCCAUGGACCAGAGCACGCCAGGCACUCCUGUCUUCCACUGCCUCCCACAGUUUGGUCAAACUCAUGCUGGUAGCUUAGAGAACACUGUCCAGCCAUCUCGUCCUCUGUCGUCCCCUUCUCCUUGUGCCCUCCAUCUUUCCCAACAUCAGGGUCUUUUCCAUGGAGUCUUCUCUUCUCAUGAGGUGGCCAAAGUAUUGGAGCCUCAACUUCAGGAUCUGUCCUUCCGGUGAGCACUCAGGGCUGAUUUCCUUCAGAAUGGAGAGGUUUGAUCUUCUUGCAGUCCAUGGGACACUCAAGAGUCUCCUCCAGCACCAUAAUUCAAAAGCAUCAAUUCUUCGGCGAUCAGCCUUCUUGAUGGUCCAGCUCUCACUUCCAUACAUCACUACUGGGAAAACCAUGGCUUUAACUAUACAGACCUUUGUUGGCAAGGUGAUUUAUCUGCUUUUUAAGACGCUGUCUAGGUUUGUCAUUGCUUUUCUCCCAAGGAGCAGGCGCCUUUCUUUUUACCUGUCCCAAAUCUCCCAUUCAGCUUCAUUGGAAGCUCAUGUGUUCUAGUGCCAGCUCUAUAAUCUCACCUCUUACUCAGCUUUCCUCUCAACUAAGAGGUCCCAACUGCUGCAACCAUUCUUCAUAGGGGACUCGCUCCACCCCCUUGAUCUUUCACAAAGCCCCAGGCCUUUUGCGGGCAGUGCGUGUGGAAAUGGCCUCAGAAUUGCUGGAAAACAUUCAUGGGAGAUUCUAUAAAAUGGUUUUCUUGUUUCACAGGGGUGGGAUGAGAAGAUGAAAUCUCAGAUGUUUCCUCGGGAAAACAUAAGAGAAAUUUCAGCUUGGCUGUUUGCAACGCAUUAAGACAUCUCAAGGAGGUUGUCUUGGCUGAAUCAGACCAUUGGCCCAUCUAAGCCAGUGCAGUCUACAUUGGCUGGCAGCAUCUCUCCAGUCAAGAGACACACCCAGGGCUACCUGGAGAUGCCAGGAAUUGAACCUGGGACCUUCUGAAUGGAAAGCAGAUGCUCUACCACUGAGCUACAGACCUUACUGUAAGACACAGGAACAUAGGAAGCUGCCAUUGGCUCACCUAGUUCAGUAUUGUCUACACUGGCUGGCAGCAGCUCUCCAGGGUUUCAGGCAAAGGAUAAUCCCAGCCCUGCCUAGAGAUGCUGGGGAUUGAACCUGGGACCUUCUGCAUGCAAAGUAGAUAAUAAUAAUAAUAAUAAUAAUAAUAAUAAUAAUUGCACUAAUAAUAAUAAUAAUAAUAAUUGCACUAAUAAUUUCUUUCUUGCACUAAUUUCAUUUUUUUACCUCCAUCCCCCAGGAUUUUGUGUUGUAGCCCCGUUCCUCUCUCCAGCUUCAAUGAGACAUUUCCUUUUGCACUCUCAUCCCACCUUGUGAAUCAUCUCAAGGAAAUGUUAACACAUCUCAUGGGGUCCUCGAUGUCUGGCGUGCCCAAAAUGAGUUAAAACCCCCCCGUCGGUUUUGUGAGAUGCAAAGCAUUGAGCUCGCCGGGAUCGGUCUGUGUGUGUUUUGGGAAAGAGCAGUUGACCCGCUUUCCGGCAAUCUGUAGAAGGCCAGGGCUCCCCCUGGGAAGAUUUUGUGAUUCAUCUUUCUGGGCAUUGAUUCCUGGCCUUGUUUUUCAGACGUUGUUGUUCUCCAAAAUACAGACAAAGACCUUUCGCUACCGCGAACGGAAGACCCAUAAAAUGUCUGCGUUUCAAAAUCGCGUUGUAAUGAGCGUGCCUGGAAAUCACGCGUUUUAAUCCGGGAGGAGUCUAAGCAAAGCUACCUGAAAGGAAUGAGUUUGCUGUGGACUUUCAGGGCGCAACUGAGUAUCUAUAAACAAGAAAUAUCGAUGGAAGUGGUUCCCCUUAUUCCAGAUUAUUGCAAAGUCUGCUACCUGGCAGGGCCAUUAUGUUCCCUCUUCCAGAUAGUGGGAUGCAGUGAUGGGAAAUACUUUUUCUCCUGCUGAUUCCUUUACAAGCAUUCAGCUGCUAAAGUCACAGGAAGCCCCCCUCCCACAAAGAACCCUCCUCAGUUUUGGAGGAUUGGGAGAGGUAAUGGAAGAAAGGGGUUAAGUUUACCGCAUGUACGAUGUUAAAGGAAAAUAUAAUAAAAAUGAUGUAUAGAUGGUAGUUGACCCCUGUCAAAGUAGCAAAGAUUUAUCAUAACUGUGAUAACCUAUGUUGGAAAUGUAAAGAAAAAGAAGGAACUUUUUAUCAUAUGUGGUGGACCUGCCCCAAGGUGAAAGACUUCUGGG
Podarcis lilfordi (Lilford's wall lizard) is the source of this 3154-nucleotide non-coding RNA. The record is from the annotation of a GenBank genome assembly. Lineage: Eukaryota; Metazoa; Chordata; Lepidosauria; Squamata; Lacertidae.